Molecule: unclassified non-coding RNA, 261 nt
Filed under: Hevea brasiliensis (rubber tree)
Lineage: Eukaryota; Viridiplantae; Streptophyta; Magnoliopsida; Malpighiales; Euphorbiaceae
Source: RNAcentral
AUAAUUGGAUCAUGUUUGAUUCCAAUUGUUAGGGAUAAAGAUCCCAUAUUGAAAAUAUAUAAGAAUAUAAAAGGGCUUAUAUGUUAUUUGGGACUCCCAUCUAAGAGUUUAGGCUUUUGGGAUGGGUAUGUCUCUGAAUCCAACUAGUAUAAAGAGCUAUGUCAUGAGAAAGUGCAAAACUUGCAGGCAUUUCAUUGUGAAGCUAAGUAACUUAACUUGUUUAAUAAUUUGAUCCAAUCUCAACCAAAACAUGGAACUAAU